GCCUUAGGCAGAGGACUCUGAAUUGUGUCAGAUUGGAGAAAACAUACUGAAAAUCUGAAUAUGUUUCCAUUGUUCUUUGUUCUGUGUGAUAUAGGAGACAACAUUGUCAACUUUUGCUACGAUGGACUACAAUACGAAACUGAAAAUUAAAUGAAACCCUUUCUCACCACAGUUACUUUUUUUUCAAGGUAUUCUAUCAUAGUCGUGAAGAGAUUCGCAUACAUCCAAAUCCAUAAAGUAGAGAAGAGCAGGUCCAAAAGGCCUUGAGUUUCUCACUGUUUAGAAAGGAAAUGUUAGUCCAUCAAAGAGAGGAGAUAGUGAUGGAGCAGAGCAGCUUACACAGUGGCAGCCAUGAAGCAGAGACAGCGCUAUACAGCAGGGACUCUGGUCAUGCAACAGCUCGUAAGGACAAGCUCCCUGGUGAUACAUUUUCAUCACUAGCGUCACAUCUUCCACAGUUCACCACAUUGCAAUAAUGGCAUCCUAUCAGGAAUCAACCAGGAGACUAAUCCAUUGGAUAGAUACUGAUAUAAUUCUCUCUGGAGAAUCGAUCGCAGACAAAUCCAGGAUGGUUCUUAGAUAAUCUACGUGAUUCUCAGUCCAAACAAGCUGAGGAUCAAAUUGAACCAUCAAACCACAGCUGAACAAGCAUGGCCAGAAGACGCUGGCAAUAGAAACAUCCGGCCUUGGUAUUUUCAUCCUCUUAACUGAGCAUGUGCAUUUCCGGCAGGAGUAGACCAUCUUCCAGUUUAGAGUUAUCGCUUAUUUGGCGCCUACAAGGAGAACAAACCAUCGUUGACACUAAAGAGCGAAAGACCUGGGGAGUCUCAAGGAUAGCCCUGACCUUUGAUAACUAUCCAAUAACAUUUUCACCUGUAUCUUGGUCUAUAAAAGUAGAAUACUUGAAAUUAUAUAUCUGUUUAUAGUUUUAUAUCAAGCAUAUAGAAUCAUUGGAAAAACUAGAGGUCUUUCGCUCUCUCCCUUCCCCCCUCUCUCCACGUGGCCAUGGUCAGCCUCUCUCUCUCUACCUUUUUUCUGUCUCCCUGCCUUUCUAAAAUAAAGCUCUAAAACUAUAAAAAAGAGGUCUUUGA
RNAcentral lists this long non-coding RNA (1091 nucleotides) under Mus spicilegus (steppe mouse). RNAcentral describes it as "lncRNA (ENSMSIG00000005246.1)". The record is from RNAcentral. Lineage: Eukaryota; Metazoa; Chordata; Mammalia; Rodentia; Muridae.